UAUUUAUUUAAACUUUUAUGAUAAUUUGCAACUUUAUCUAAUUUUAUUUCUUGAUCUCUUUUUAGGAUCAAAAAGUUCAAGAAAUGGAAAGAGAAAAAGAAGAGAAACGUAAAAGGAAGGAAUUAAUGAGAGAAAUGGAUAAGCAUGAAAGAAGACAGUACAAGAAGUCUUUAGCUGAAACUCCGAAAACCAAGGAACAACUACUAAGGGAAAAAUUAAUUGCAAAAUUCAAAUCAAAUGAAGAAAAGCGUGUCGAAGCGCAGAAAACAAAACCUAAAGUUUCCAAAGCUGUGAUCAAAGCGGGUGCAGUUAGUGAUGAUUCAUUUGGCUCAGAUACAAGCAGUCUGCCAAGUGUCGAUGCCGAAACACUUAAUCCACCAGCCAAUACAUCAUCCGUUAACAAUUGGAGAGGACGAGGCAGGGAUGGUCCUAACGGCCGAGAUGGUCCAAAUGGUCGUGAUGGUAAUAAUGAUAAUCGAGGACGAAUUUGGGUUCGAGGUCGAGGAAGAGGCCGCAACGCUUAUGAUGGGCGAGGAAAUGACCGCAUGUAUGAGCGUGACAAUUACCCACAAAGAAAUCAGUACUAUAAUCGACGUGGCGGCGGUGGUGGUGGAUAUGGAUGGCAACGAAUGCGAGGUGGUUUUAUGCCACCAUUCAUGGAUCCUUACAUGUUGGGUACUAUGAGUGAGUACUACAAGUAUUUCAACAAAUUAGUCAAAGGUAGCAGACGAUCAUAUUCUAGAUCCAGGUCUAGGUCUAGGUCAAGGUCGAGGUCUCGGAAAAGAAGCAGAGGUCGCUCUUACUCUAGAAGUCGCUCUAGAUCUUACUCCAGGUCCAGAAGUAGGACUCGAUCCAGAUCAAGAAGUUCGCGACGUUCAAGGUCUAGAUCCUAUUCCAGGCACUCAAGGUCACGAUCCAGAAGCCGUUCAAAGCGCUCAAGGUCUCAUAGUAGGUCUAGAAGUAGAAAUAGAUCCAGGUCUAAAAGCCGCUCUAGGUCUAGAAGUAAAUCGCGCAGUCAUCGUCAUAGGCAUAGAUCUAGAUCACGUAGUCGCCGUGCAGAUUCUCAUAAAUCUAAGUCUAAGUCAAAGUCAAGAGAUGAAUCUAAAGGGAAGUCACACUCUCCAGAUAGGCGCAAGGAAGAUUCAACGACAAAAAAUCCCUCUCCUGAAACUGAGAGCAAAAAGACUGAAAAUCUUACAGCAGACAAAAAUGGAGAUUCCUCCUCUAAGAAGGGGCACUCUCCCAUUACGUUCAACGAUGAAAGCAAUUCAAAAAAGGAUGAGAAAAGUAAAGCAAAAGACCCAAAAAGUGAUGAAAAAAAUUCUAGUAAUGAACAAGAAAAUAAAUCUUCAAGCUCCAAGAGUAAGAAGAAAAAACAUCAUCAUCACAAAAAGGCAAAGAAAAAGAAGAAGAAAGGAAGCGACGAGGAAAAAGAAACUACGGAAAAAGGAGAAUAAAUUAAUAUUAUUAAGUGGGUACCCCUAAUUCUCAGAAAACCACCGAUUCAAACUGUUUUCCGGUAUGUAUGAAGUGUAUUCGCUUUAAUUUGCAACCAGGAUAAGUCUCUCCAUUUUUUCCUCCAUUGCCCUGAAAAAUAUGUUCCUCUCUUACAAUAACUCAACUUCGAUAAAUAUUUACAGUACAUGGAAUAUGCACUGAAGUCUGCUGAUAAUCCUACGAGAAAGUGUGUCACUUUAGUAAACAUACUGCUCUCAAUUUUUGUAUUUUGUAGUAGAAGCUUCUCUUAUUUUUAUUUUUUAAGUCAAGAAAUCAUCAAAAUAGCUGUUGAAACUCCCCUCCCUUCCCAAUAUUUGAAGAUUUGUCAAAGAGGAAGGAUAAUUUCCAAAUUUUUUUUUUUUUAUUUUCUCUCAUUGGGAAGUAUCCUGACAGUAUCCUCCAAAGAUUAUUUACUGAGAACGUUUCUCUGACAGAAACUUGAGAUUUUUGUGAGUCACGUCUGAUUCUGCGUUGAGUAACUUUUAAGCCACAUUGGUUUUAGGUAAGGAUUUUUUCACAAGAUAUCUUACAGUCAUGACUGAAGUCCUCAAAAUGAGAAAAUUCUGAAUUUUUAUAGCUCUUCCCGAAAAUUUAUUGUUUGUUCUAUUCUGGCAACUGAAAUUUUUGCUCUUUUCAUUUUCUGUACAAAAAUUGUAACUUGAAGAAUCUAAAAACUAGCUUUAAAAAUGAUAACUCUGACUUUUUGAAAAAAUUAGAAUUACAAAGAGCAUUCAAAGGCUGUAUGCUACAACAAAGCUUCUAAAGAAAGUUAUGUAAUUAAGUGAGGUAGUUGCAAUCAGAAUUUGAAUCGAGCAAGACUCAAUUAUUAUUUCAUUUUUUGGCGUCAUGAGUAUUACCUUACAAAAAUAAUUCCAUGGAAGUCACCAUUGAGGGAGUAGACAUUUUUUGAAUAAAUUAAACCAGAGAGAAAUUGCGUUCCUUUGCUCUGUUUUAUUCUGGAAAAUCAUAUUGCUGUUGUAAAGUAUGAAAUUACUUUAACUUUUUCAAGUUUCUUUGUAGAUUUUUUUUUCUUUUUAUAUGAAAAAUCUAGCAAAUGCUGCUACAAUUGAAUAUUUUCAGUCUCUCAUGUACUUUUUUACUUUAAAAUACAUUAUGCAGGCAAGAAAAAUGUAUAGUGCAAAAAUUGCAGUUUUUAAGAGAAAAAUCAACAUUUCAGUUUGUGAAAAACCUGCAAAAAUGUUUCCUAGUCCUCUUAUUUAAACCUUUCAAACGACUUUGGUAUUUACUUUUUCCAAUUCUAAUAAUUACUGGAAAUCGCAUCAUCUUGUGUAAAUUGCUAAUCAGUGAUUAGAAGUCUAGAUUACCCAAAUCUGUAAUCUCCCUAUUUCAGUGUCAUAAUGUCACGCGUAAAACUUGCUAAAAUGAUUACCUAUGUUCUCAUUCAAUUUUCUUUUUUUUAUAGCUAUUUAAGUGGGUAAUUUAUUUUUCCUUAUGAUACCCAAUUUUCUGUAACAACUGCUAUUCUUUAUUCAAGCAUCUGGUACUCUGGGGCAAUUUCGCUCUCUCACUCUCUUGUGAAUUCUUUUUACCUACCUUGUUAAUUGUGUAAAACUUUUCAAAACUCACAAGUCUUUCAUGUAUAAUAAAGUUUGAAUCCUGGUUCUUUCCUUAGAACUUUAAGUGAAAACUUCCAUUUCUUAACUAUCGAUUUUUCAUUUUCAGUCAGGUUUUUUAUCCAUCUUUGUAGCUAACAAGGUGGAGAAAUGGUGCUGGGUCCACACCAUUUUGCAAGGAAAUUAAAGCCAAGAAAUUCCAAAUGUUUUAAUUAGAGUCAAAAAUACUAUAUAUUGAAAAAUAUAAAAUAAAUAUAGGUCAAAAAUAAUAUAUUUUUGACUCCAAUAAUAAUUUUUGGAAUUUCUUGGCUUUGAUUUCCCCACGAAAUGGUGUGGACCCAGCAUCAUUUCUCCACUUUGUUACGUACAGUAUUCAGGCCACCUUUUAGUGUUUUUUUCUCAUUUGUAGCUAACUUAAUAUAAUUUUCUCCCUCCAUCUUGUUUAAAGAGAAGAAUUCAGAUUUGUGGUUUGCUUUUACUUAAUACUCGACUUACUUCAAAUUAAUCUGUAUUUAGUCAUUAUACAUUGAUGUAACUUCAUGUUGUUGGGGAUGAGACAUCCUCAUUACAGCUGUCUAGUGCAUCUGUUGUCGUUAAAUCAUUUUAGUUCAUCCUGACUGGGAAGAAACUUUUAAAUGUUUUCAUAUAUACUGCCUAGUUGAAGUUCCAAGCUUCAUCGUGAAAAUUUGUUCUUUUUAUUCGGAAGUCAACCCAUUCUACCUUUUUCCUUUCAUCACACAUUUAGCUGUAGAAUUUUGUUGAAUUAUUUGCAGUUAAUGUUUUUUUUUUUUUUUUUUUACAAAAUGUUGAAAAUGUAAAAUUUUGCAAAAAUACAACAAUUAUAUUUCUAAAAUUUGGUCUCUUUUGUCUGUAAUCAUAUCUUCUUUCAAACAUUUAACUUAUGAUUAAAAAAAUAGGAAAAAGAAAUCAUAGAUGAAGAGGUUAUUGAUUAAGUAUUUGACUCAGAAGAGCCCCAGUC
Molecule: long non-coding RNA, 4050 nt
Filed under: Bemisia tabaci
Lineage: Eukaryota; Metazoa; Arthropoda; Insecta; Hemiptera; Aleyrodidae
Description: lncRNA ENSASIAIIG013023
Source: RNAcentral